Molecule: long non-coding RNA, 512 nt
Filed under: Phoenix dactylifera (date palm)
Lineage: Eukaryota; Viridiplantae; Streptophyta; Magnoliopsida; Arecales; Arecaceae
Description: long non-coding RNA (PDAC_LNC000311)
Source: RNAcentral
ACUGGUUAGGUUGAACCUUCAUGGGUGGACCGAACCGGUUUUUCCAACACGUUCAAAUUAAACCAAGGUCCAAAAUUCUAUCAAGAACUUGCAACAAUAAUAGUCUAGAUCAAGCAAAUGAGAAUGAGGCAAAGUCCACUCUAGGGAAAACCCUAAACAUUUCUUGCAACAACACCAUCUUCAUUCUCUUUGACCAUCAUCAUUUUCUUCCACUUUAAAGAAUUACUGAGUUAGGAACUGAAAUAACUGUAGAUAACGAGAAAAAGAAAAAGCCCAAAAGAUUCAUCUUUGUUUCCCCAUGAAUAAUGCUAUCAUAUCUCUCCAUGGCAUAAUUCUAUAAUAUCUCUUUAUAUGUUUUUUCUAUUGAGUUGAAGUAUCACUACCAGUAGCCACAAUGAUACCUCGCCACUAUGGUAUGGAUCGACUUUUAGUCUUCUUGAUGCCAACACAACAAAUUAGAAGUGACAUACCAACUGGUACACAUCGGUAGUUAAAUACUUGCCACCACUCUC